This 492-nucleotide ribosomal RNA is filed under the name uncultured bacterium. Its description in RNAcentral is "partial 16S ribosomal RNA". It matches the Rfam family "Bacterial small subunit ribosomal RNA", at positions 28 to 523 of the family's 1533-position model. The record is from RNAcentral.
GAUGAACGCUAGCGGCAGGCUUAACACAUGCAAGUCGAGGGGUAUAGUAGCAAUACUAGAGACCGGCGCACGGGUGCGUAACGCGUAUGCAAUCUACCUUUCACAGAGGGAUAGCCCAGAGAAAUUUGGAUUAAUACCUCAUAGUAUAGUAUCUUGGCAUCAAGGAACUAUUAAAGUCACAACGGUGAAAGAUGAGCAUGCGUCCCAUUAGUUAGUUAGUAAGGUAACGGCUUACCAAGACUACGAUGGGUAGGGGUACUGAGAGGGAGAUCCCCCACACUGGUACGGAGACACGGACCAGACUCCUACGGGAGGCAGCAGUGAGGAAUAUUGGACAAUGGGCGCAAGCCUGAUCCAGCCAUGCCGCGUGCAGGAUGACGGUCCUAUGGAUUGUAAACUGCUUUUGUACAGGAAGAAACACCCCGACGUGUCGGGACUUGACGGUACUGUAAGAAUAAGGAUCGGCUAACUCCGUGCCAGCCGCCGCGGUAA